This 386-nucleotide ribosomal RNA is filed under the name uncultured bacterium. RNAcentral's name for it is "bacterial SSU rRNA". It matches the Rfam family "Bacterial small subunit ribosomal RNA", at positions 370 to 772 of the family's 1533-position model. The record is from RNAcentral.
AAUGGGCGAAAGCCUGACGCAGCAAUGCCGCGUGCGGGACGAAGGCCCUAGGGUCGUAAACCGCUUUCAGCAGGGACGAAAAUGACGGUACCUGCAGAAGAAGCUCCGGCCAACUACGUGCCAGCAGCCGCGGUGAUACGUAGGGAGCAAGCGUUGUCCGGAAUUACUGGGCGUAAAGGGCUCGUAGGUGGUUGAGUAAGUCGGAUGUGAAAUCUCAGGGCCCAACCCUGAGCGUGCACCCGAUACUGCUCUGACUAGAGUCCGGUAGGGGAGCGUGGAACUCCUGGUGUAGCGGUGAAAUGCGCAGAUAUCAGGAAGAACACCGACAGCGAAGGCAGCGCUCUGGGCCGGUACUGACACUGAGGAGCGAAAGCAUGGGUAGCAAA